CUUUAUUAUACUACACUGUACUUAAGAAACUCCCCUUUCUUACUUAAGAAACCCUUGCAGACAGUCUGAUACAGACAGACCAGAUUAGUCCUUGAUUCCAAAGCACCAUCACCAUUGGCCAAUUAAGAAAUCACCCUUUGGUAAACAAAUCUCCGUAACACAUUCCACAUGUUCACAACAGGUGCAGCAAGUGAAGGUAAGAAUUGCUCAUCAUUCUUUUCUCUGAUCUUCUCACAGCCUUCCCCAGGACAAUGCCUGGGAAAGUUGUGUUCCUCUCUGUAGCCAGAGAGCUGCAGCCACAUCUCCACACCUGUUCAAAUGACAGAUGAAAAUCAAAUUGAUACCGUGCCUCUGGUUGUACAUACUCUGGUCUUCAGAUUCUUCAGCUUACUUUUAGAGAAAGUACAUCUAGAUUUUCCUGUUCUUAGCCCAAGUGAAGGGAGCUGGAAUGGGUAUAAGUCUCUACGUCUGGUGUGGUGCUUUUUAGACUGUACUCAUCCAUCAGCGUAACAACAGGCACAUCUAAGAGCUUACCAGUUUUUUCUUUUUUACUAUGAGCUGUUUUGUUGCCAGCUUAAAGAGCAAGCGUCUAAAAACUAGAUCUUUUAUUACAAACAUCAUGAGCUUGAAGUAGCACAAGUGGUUUACUUUUAAAUUUUUUUCAUUUCCUCAAAUCUGCCAUCUCUUGACACCUUCACUCCCUUGUUUAAAAGCUUUUCUAAUCCAGAAUGGCACAAGAAACAGAAAACUGUAAAGUGCAUACAUUGAUGUCUGACUGGGUAAUUUGGCAAUAUUCUUACAAUAACUGUUUUUCCAAACCCACUAGUACACUUUCUCAGUGUUCCAGUUAGUAUAUAAAAAAUAAUGCUUAAACUGUACAACUUCUAUAAAAACCUAGAGCAGGCAAUACAUUCCUUGGCACAACCACACAUUUCAAAAAUGGGAUUUUUAUCACAGUAUUUCAUUUCCAGUCAGUCGAGGUCUGCAUUCAUAGAUCAUUUUGCACACACAUUACUCAGCCCCUGCUGCUUCUAUCUCUAGUGUGGUAAAUAUUUUUUACCUUGUGCAAAGGAUAUAUGGGCAACACAGCCAAGAUGAAUUCUUGCAUUAGUCUUGCAGCCCAGAUGACAGUGACAUACAGCAAGAUAUUAGACCACUGUGGUAUCAGAAAUGUACAGUAAGCCUGAGUAAAGGAUGUAGCCUAGAGUUUUAUAGCCUUAAGACCCAGGAAAACAAAGAUAAAAGGUACACUUCCACUGUAGCAUACUGCCAAGUUUAGCCAUUCAGAAUAAUACACCACGUCAAUUAAAUUUAACCUAUGAAUUCAUCAUCUUCCUGGGGCCAGCCCAGGUGCCCGAGAUGACAGCUUGUUCUAUUUCAUGCAGUGCAAUAGAGAUCAAUAAGGAGGUGCUAUGGGGUAGUAGAUGGUGCCCAUGUGUCUAGCUGAGAAAAAAAAUGUAACUUAGAGUUAUUAAACUGUUUUACUGCUUCUUAAUGCAUAUCAGUAUUCUAUUACAUAAUCCAGUAGUAAAGCAGUAGAGAAGUUUGGUUCUUGAAAGUGUUAAAAGGCUGCUGUGAUUUUCUAAGGGGCAGCAGGAUGUUGCUCCCAGCAAGUUCCCAGUUCUGGGAGCAGGCUGCUGUCUGUUUUGUGGGCACACCAGAGGCAGCUGCAGAGCAGUGCAUAAUCAGUCUGUCAUGACCAAAGAAUACUUUGUUUUUCUACACUGAUGGGAAAUCUUCAUUUCUCUUUACAGGCAUAUUUAAAAGAGAGUUCAGGUUAAGCCAUUCUUUCUACAGCCCAGCAAUGCUGCACGUACAGCAUUUAUGCUUCCAGCCUGAUCAGCAUUCAAAGCCACAUCGGUUUAGCUAACAGUACUAACAUUUUUAAACAGCUAAUGAAUUCUGAGCAUGGCCAGCACUACUUUAAUUCAAAUUUGCCUUAUAGUGAGUUCUCUCAGCUCAGCUAAGAAGGCAGUUUAAUGUGCAAUUAAGGCUCUCUCUGCUAUGUAAGCUGUUUCUACCAUAUCAAAAAUCGUAAAUUAGAAUAAUUAACACAUUGGAGAGUCAGUGUAAGGUGAUGAAGAAGAGGCAAGUUUAUGCAAAAUACAGACUGUAUCCAAGUUUCAGUCACCUUGAAGACCAUGGAAACACCAAACAUCUCAUUUAAUAUUUUAUUAGUCGAUUUCUUAAAAUGACACAGAAGGACCAUAGAGCUUUAGCAGACUGACUACUGAAAUCCCUUCAUACAUGACUUGUACUAUCCUGUUCUUAUUUGUAAAUUUAUAUGAGAUGUCAUAAACACAUAGAUAAAUAACACAGAAACAGUCUUAUGAUAGUAAGUAAUCCACACAAAUUCUAUCAGAGCAAUAAACUCUCUCAGAAUUUUAUCCUCAGGGCUCCAGAAAACCUCAGCCAGGGAGGAAUUCAAUAACUCCAUCACCCAAGAACCAGAAAGCAGUGUGGUAACUGGGUUUGGAAGUAAUGCUAGUGAAACUCUACAGAUGCAGCUUCUCAAACUGUAUUAAUUUGAUGAGAAUAGAACACAGAAUCAUUUCAGGCUUAUUUUUUGACAUCUUUCAAAGUUAGAAUACUUCCAAAUUAUUAUGCUCAAAACCCUAGCAACUGCCUCAAUUUUAUAAUGUAGUAUCUUUGUGAGUAGAAUCCUGUAAGACAAAAAUUUAUUAGCACAUGGCAGUAUUAUUUAAUCUAACUUGGUCUGCAGGCUCAAAACACUUAAUCUAAAUUCCUAUGGAAUUAACCAUGUUUAGUGUUACUGUGACUGAAUUUUAAUAACCUGAAAUUAAAGCUGGGCCAGUUGGAGGAGGGAGACAUAAAAAAUGAGCUACUCAUUUUUUGCUUUCAAACACUUGCAAGUUCUUAAUUUUUAACAAGUGAGAGAACUCCAGGCAUGGCAGAUAUCACCAUUUGGCACAUAUUCUAUAAAAUAAGAUGAAGCUAAAAAAAUGAAUACUUUUCUUUCUUCCAAAUAACUUUCAAUUAUAAUAUGAAAAAAAAUUUUUAAGACCAAACAGAUUGAGGCAUGAAGAAACAACACUGCUCUAUGAAAGCUUAGUGGUUUAAUGCCAAGUGUCCCACAUUUUUUCCCAGCAGAAAUAUUUUGAGGCAUUUGAUGGUGUGAUGGGCUUGUGUGGAAGUGGGGACAUGGAAAAAUUUCAAAUAAGUGGCUCACAGUAACACACUGGGAAGAUGAACUGGAGGGAAAGGCUGAACAGAGGGAAGGAUCUCUUAAAAGAGAAGGAGACAUGGUAGAAGGGUCACACUGAGAGCUUGGGUCAGUCUUCAGUGGAAGAGAGGGAAGAAGUCAAGGAAGAGCUGAAUCCAGAGCAGGAUGAGCUCAAAGAAACUGUCUCUAAAGUUGUCUUAGCAACUGCCCAGGGUAACUCACAUAUGCCAGAAGACUCUUCCAUUUCAGAAUUUAGACCACAAUUACCAUUGCACUUAGGUUGACUGGGACUAACAGACUUUGUAAAUCAGGACCGAGGGGGAUACAACUGUGCUGCCUACUGUCAUUUCUGCUGCAAAGGCUCUGACCACAUCUGGGGGGAAAAACACAUCUUGACAAAAAAUUAUGUUUUUGGCAUGUGAUACUAACAGUAAAGUGUCACAAGUUGUCAAGGGUGUGUUGCCAUUCUAAGAGGCAGAAUCAAACAAAACAUUGUAACUUAGAGAAGCUGCAUAACUUCAGGCAUUUAUCUUUGACAGGAAUGGCCUGUGGGAAGCAUAUCUCUCUUAUUUAUAUAGAAAAAUUCACGCUUCUAAACCAAGAGGGUCUACAUCUCCACAUCAACUCAGGCUGUCAAACAUAGCCACAAUAAAAAGCACCAUCCUAUUUGGAUUUCUUAUUGAUCCCUGUUGUACUGUGAAUGGCAUUAUUUUCUUCCUUGACCUCAGUUCAGGGAACAAUUUAGAAGCUUUUCAAAAUCUGCUUUUCUAUUAUUCAGAAACAGAUUUGAAUUUAUUGAACAAGAACGCUUUUUACAAAUGCUUUUUUUUUUUUCUGGAUUAUUUUUUUCUUUCCAUCCUGCUUUUCUGUUCUCUCCCUCCUGUCCCAAGGUGGAUGUGAACCUCAGGCUGCCUGAGCAGCUUUUAAACAUUAAACAAAACACAUCGGGUUGCCAUGUCUGUCUCAGCAGAAAGUCAAUAUUCACUCCAGGAGCAAUCAAGCACCCAAGCACAGAGGCUAUAGCAAAAGGCUGUAAAAAAUGUAGUAACAAUGCCCGAAAGUGCUUUGAGUAAAGGCUUUCUUGUAAACCUGCAGUUGAAACCAACUUUAUGUAAGUAAUUACAAAGGGUUUGAUCAAUUUGAGCUGAAUUUUGAUAUUACAAACCCAAUAUGUGGCCAAGUGUAAUUUUGAGCCACGCCAAUGCAUGAGGACCUUCUACCAGUUUACUGAAAUUCUAGCAAUAAAGUUUUUGUAUAAAUUUUGCAAUUUUAUACCUUUGUGUUAUGGUAUUUUAUACCUAUGUGUUAAGCACAGAAGUUUAGCUAACAUGCAUUUCAGGAUCUUUAUUGCUUCUAUAAAUGCAAAUAGUGAGAAAAAUAUUGAUUAUCUAGCAGUACAGCUUUGAAAAUCUUUACCUAAUAAAUAAACAAACUUAUUUCACAUAUGUCACUGGUCACACACUGGAUGACAAAUGC
Molecule: long non-coding RNA, 4660 nt
Filed under: Taeniopygia guttata (zebra finch)
Lineage: Eukaryota; Metazoa; Chordata; Aves; Passeriformes; Estrildidae
Description: lncRNA (ENSTGUG00000021480.1)
Source: RNAcentral